Solanum lycopersicum (tomato) is the source of this 419-nucleotide long non-coding RNA. RefSeq lists it as uncharacterized. The record is from RefSeq and is a predicted model, not a curated record. NCBI's taxonomy places the organism in Eukaryota, Viridiplantae, Streptophyta, Magnoliopsida, Solanales, Solanaceae.
UUUAAAAUCAAAAGCUCUCCGUUCUCUUUCUCCAAAGCCUCCAUUGAUGGGCUUUGAAGCUCCAAGGAAAGAAGGUCAAAUUCUCCAAGUUUUUCAACCAAAAUUUCGUGGAUAGUACUUCAUUAAGGUGGAAGUAACUGAGGAUCUUAGAGUUGAAACUUUGGAAGUAAAAUUGUUCUCUCAAGGCCCUUGGUAGGUUCUCAUAUGUUCGAGGACUAGGAUGUUAUAUCUAGUUUCCUUUGUAUUAAAGACUUUGUAGUAGCCAUGAGUUUCUUUUCUAUUAAGGGUUGUAACCCUAUGAUAAUAAUAUAUGUCUAAGAUGGCUCGCGAUGAUGAGACUUAGUUCUUUUUACAUUUUACAAAAGAUAUUUUUAUUGACAUUAUUUUGAAAAGUUUUAAUUUAACACUAUUUUUUCAUA